UAGGAAAAUGAUUUUCCCAGUCUGAGAUA
This 29-nucleotide non-coding RNA is filed under the name Mus musculus (house mouse). The record is from RNAcentral. RNAcentral also lists the same sequence under 1 other name. Lineage: Eukaryota; Metazoa; Chordata; Mammalia; Rodentia; Muridae.